UGUUACAAAUUCUUUUAGACUAGGACGAGAACCCGUAUCAUUCAGUUAAAGUCUGAAAUAAUUACAGAUACACUUUCCUUUUUUUAUUAGCUGUUCUCUGCAAAGGCUGUCUUUCACUGCAAAUUAUGAAGAUGCAAGGUAUAUAACAUAAUGAUCUAGCUUUGAAAUAUUCUAGACUUAAUGAUUCAUUACUGCUUUAUGUCACACAGACAAAAUUGAUACAGAAUUUAUAUUUCUGCCUGCCUUUUAAUAAGUGUUAUGUCUAUUUAAAAGGCUCAAAUUAGCUCUCCAAUUCUGUGAAACAGCAUUCCUUACAAGAAGCAAUGGGCCUAUUGCAGCAUUUGAGUUCUUAGGUUGGAAUUCAUAUACUUAAUCUCUGAAAUUUAGAUUCUCUUUGAGGUCUUGAAGAGGACUCUUGGGAGCUUGAAUAAACAGUUUUGAAGAAGAUGCUUUGCUUUAAUGAUGUUUGUGUUUUCUUUAUAAACUGCAAUAGAACCUGGUAACCCAUGGAAGAUAUUUGCGGUUCCAAUGUUUUCAUCUAUAGCAGAGAGAGUAGGUUACGCUGAACUCAACAGUUAGCUUGAAAUCAAUGUUUUUAUUUACAAUUUGAAACUCAUAAAAAGCAUAAGAGGUCCUUCCUUCCCUCAUCCUAAGUUGCAAUAGAUCUGAUGAUGGAAACUGUUUGCUAAAGGAGUGUCUAAAGAGAAACACAAAGACUUCAGCAAAUUUCUUGCUGGAAAAGAGCUGAGCUAGUUCAGGCAACUUGGGCCUUAAUACAUUAGGACUAAGGGGAAAUAACAUUAAAAUAUCUUUCUGACAAGAACUUUUAUAUCAGUUUAUGUGGGGCUGAAAAAGAAGCAAGGAGAACUCAGUAGGCAUCUGGGUAACAGUAGGUUAGCACCCACAGCCGGAGAACAUUUGUGAAAAUGCCAAUAUCUUUCAUUUUCAGACUCCUCAUUUAUACAGCCAAGCUUUUCAAGUGAGAUCCCGGCAGAGUGAGGUCCUUUCACAGGGUAAGGGACACAUGGAUAUCCAUGCCCACUUCCAUCCACCCUAAGUUGUGGCUGACACCAGCGAUCAGAUAGGCAGUUCCCCAAACCCACAAGCUCACACCAACAUCAGUGGCUGAAUGUUCUUCUGUGCAGUGGAGGCAUGAUCUAGUCUCAGAAUGUGUUUGGUCUUCUCAUCUGCUUCCUGAGAGUUUAAUAUAAAUUUGUCUUUUGGGUUUUUCCUUUUCUUUCCACGUUCAAGAGUGAACUGGGCAGCCAUUUGCAGUUGUUGUUGUUGUUAUUGUUGUUUGUUUGUGUCUAAAUCCAGAAAAAAAUAUAAGCUGCUAUUAAUUUAGCAUGGGUUUCUUCAUGAAAUUUAUCCAUUU
This 1375-nucleotide long non-coding RNA is filed under the name Anas platyrhynchos platyrhynchos (common mallard). RNAcentral's name for it is "lncRNA (ENSAPLG00000026026.1)". The record is from RNAcentral. Lineage: Eukaryota; Metazoa; Chordata; Aves; Anseriformes; Anatidae.